RNAcentral lists this ribosomal RNA (253 nucleotides) under uncultured bacterium. RNAcentral's name for it is "partial 16S ribosomal RNA". It matches the Rfam family "Bacterial small subunit ribosomal RNA", at positions 524 to 776 of the family's 1533-position model. The record is from RNAcentral.
UACGUAGGGUGCAAGCGUUAAUCGGAAUUACUGGGCGUAAAGCGUGCGCAGGCGGUUUUGUAAGACUGUCGUGAAAUCCCCGGGCUUAACCUGGGAAUGGCAUUUGGGACUGCAAGGCUUGAGUGCGGCAGAGGAGACUGGAAUUCCUGGUGUAGCAGUGAAAUGCGUAGAUAUCAGGAGGAAUACCGAUGGCGAAGGCAGGUCUCUGGGCUGACACUGACGCUCAUGCACGAAAGCGUGGGGAGCAAACAGG